This 228-nucleotide non-coding RNA is filed under the name Halalkalibacter okhensis. RNAcentral describes it as "Bacillus okhensis T-box sequence". It matches the Rfam family "T-box leader". Rfam says of the family: Uncharged tRNA acts as the effector for transcription antitermination of genes in the T-box leader family. T-boxes are found upstream of many aminoacyl-tRNA synthetase genes and some amino acid biosynthetic genes usually in Gram-positive bacteria. Lineage: Bacteria; Bacillati; Bacillota; Bacilli; Caryophanales; Bacillaceae. The record is from RNAcentral.
ACAAUUCCGAAGAAGAGGCAUAGUAGUUAAGGUAGCAGGUAAAAAGAGAGGAAAGGUCGUGGCUGAGAGCCUUCCAUAUCUGUCUUAAUGAAUGAACACCUCAGAGGAGUUUUUCUGAACGUAAAUACUAGUAGGAAAAGACGUAUACAGGCGUUAACUGUUUAAAGAGGAAGCAGUAUUGUUGCUUCAAUUUAGGGUGGCACCACGGGUAUAACUCUCGUCCCUGAU